Molecule: transfer RNA, 24 nt
Filed under: Corvus coronoides perplexus
Lineage: Eukaryota; Metazoa; Chordata; Aves; Passeriformes; Corvidae
Description: partial tRNA-Arg
Source: RNAcentral
CAGAAAGUUAGUCUAAACCAAGAC